CCAGACCUUGAACAAUUUUACUUUACUACCCCUUCCCACUGUGUGCUCUUAUAUCUUAAGGCUGUAACAUUUGCUAAGCCCACUUUUACAUCUUGCUCAUACCCAUGUGUAAAGCAUGCAUUACAAAAAUACAUUUUAUUGAGUUCCCUAGUGGUUAAGGAUCUGACAUUGUCACUGCAGUGGCUUGGGUCACUGCUAUGGUAUGGGUUUGAUCCCUGGCCCAGGAACUUUUGCAUGGUGGGGGCACAACCAAAAAAAAAAAAAUUCAUUUUUUUUUAAACCUGCAUUUGAUCAGUAGUCUAGCUGCAAUCAUCCCAUCGAUCUUCCAUUAAGAUUUCGGAAAGUCUUAAACUGUUAAAUAAUGGGUUUGCCACACUUCUAAUCACUUAUGUGGAUUAAUACAUUUACUUCAUAGGAAUUAUUUAAAAGUACCAUUAUUAUCUCUGUUGUUUAGAUAAGAAAACUAAGGAGAAAUGUGCUGGAGUUACUUGUUUAUGGUAAUCACUGUGGAAUUGGGGUCACUCGUCUUGAUCAUUUCAUGAUAUCAUUUACUAAGCUCUUAUCUCAUAUUCUAGUAUAAGUUAUUCCAACUUGCUUUCUCUCUAGAGAUGAAGCACUGAAGCACUCAAAAUUUCUCUGUAGGGAUUCAUAUCUCCACAUACUGAUGUCCAGUGGACAUAUGAAUCCAUUCCAUAACUGAUAGUUGGACUUAAAAGCACUUUAAAAUAGCAACAAGGGAUUUGAAAGAUUUUCACAAACCCUACAGAUCUAUAUAAAUGCUAGCAAAAGUGUAUUGGCUUAUGAAGAUACUUGUUUUAUGAAAUAACACAAAACUAUAUGUAUUUUAUAUAUAGUGCAUAUCAUAUUGCAGAAAAGCAAAACUUAAUUAUUGGACUGUGAACAAGAAAAAAGCAUGAUAUGCAUAACAUUUGUUCAACACAAUUUCCUUAUUGUUCUGGAGUUUUAGCAGGAAACUUGACUUUUACUUACAUAACCUUAUUGAUUUUCUCUCCACACCUUUAUAGGUAAAUGGACAGUUAAUCAUUGUGUUUUCUUAUGUUGAUCCUUUUCUUUCUCAGAAGAUAUCACUGUAUUUUGCAAAGGCUUGUGUAUCAGCCUCUCAGCACCCUCCAAAAGGAGAAUAAACUCAAAAAAGAAUUCUUGAUGAUACAGUUUUUCCCAAGUUAUGAUAGUGGCUUAUAUUUAUAAACCUCUUUAUCCUCCCAAAGCAUCUGGACUUCCAUUAUUUUAUUGGUGUUUCACAUGGUACUGUGAGGGACAUAAUGGCAAUUUUAUUUUUCACAUUUACCCAGGAGGAAACUGAUGCUCAAAAGGGUUAAGUGACUGGCCUGUGUAUACUGAUAAGGAUCUUCUUAUCAGUGUACCCAACUGUUCUGACUUCCAGCCUAUAAAAACCCUCAACCAGGAUCUGGACUAUCUUUGUUUCUUGUAAAACACAACCUUCUCUACCUUUUCCCCAAAGGUGCUCCCACAUUUGUAGAUGUAUUGCUGAAUCUACCUCAUUUCACACACUACUCACCCACUCAGUGGCCAGCACUUACCUACUUGCUGUGCUCCUGAUUCUAAGCUUCUAGGCUUCUAGGUUUUAAGUCUAGUUGCAUAUAUCCUGCCAAGCUUUCCUUAUUUCUAAAUCCUAGUUCUUCCCACCUGGAACAUUGAUUCCAGACACAAAUUUAUUGGUAGUGAUCCCUUCAUUUAUCAAUUGUUGGGAAGCAUUCCCUUUUUGCUUGCCUUUUUUUCUCUUCUCAGAGGUAAUCCAUGUGGGUACAUUCUGACCUUACAAAUAGGCAUGGGCACCAGCCUGCCCCAUAUGAUGAAUAGGAAAACAUUGCUAAAGAAUAGUGAAGUGAUUUAAGCUUACACAUUUAUUUUAUUUUUUAUAGCGUGGGUUUUAAGUGUUAAAUAUCUUUAUUUUAUUUUAUUUUUUUUCUAUCCAGAGCUUAGUCCAAGCUCUGAGACCUUGAGGGAACAUGGCUGACAUUAGAAUUCUCAUAAAACAUUAAGGAAAUGCCAUAUGCUAGGGAGGACACAAAGCCAAGAAUAUGAUGGCAACAAAGGUUAGGAGGAUUAUAAAUGCCUAAAUUAGGGAACUAAUAGCAGGACCAGAAGUCAGAGAAAGUGAGAGUUAGGAAGACAGCCCAGAACAGCAAGACCAUAAUGGGAAGUCAAAGAUUUAGGGUGAAAUCUUUUGGGAAAUUUCCAGAAAUGGACCUUGCUAAAAGCAGCUGGUUUUGUAUUGAAUAGGACUAAAGACCAAAUGAGAACUAGUGAGUACUGCAUUUCCUCAUUAUAAAAUGUUGCACAAUGUACCUCAUAGAAACUGCAUCCUUGGGGUCAUUCCAAGAUUAUUAAUUAAUAAUAAAGGAGAAAUUACAUGAAUUAAAAUAUAUUCAAUACAUGCCAUCUCAAAACAUAAGCCUGGCAAAUUAAAAGUAGAAUUCUAGCUUUGAUAUUCACAUAAGAGUAAACCAAUACAUCUUAUAUUUGAAGUGCAAAAUAGUUUAUUCUAGAAAUAAAACAUAUACGAUUUCUUAAUAUCAUAUGUCAACCUUUUUUCUAUUAGAAAAUUUUUGUUUAGCUCACACACAAAAAAAAGUGUUGUGAAUCAUGUACCACACUCUCAAUGUUUCCAUCACUUUAAAAUGUGUUACUAGUAAAGCAUGUAAAUCGCUUAAACAUGAAAACCAAAUGACACAAUGAAGAUAUACAGCUGUGCUUACAUUGUAUACAUCUCUUAUGACAUGUUUUACUUGCUUUAGCUUUCUGUGGCAGUAAACACUAAGGAAUAAUGCUGCUAUUUCAAAUGAACACAAACUAAAAGCAGGAAAAACUGUUUUUAAAAACUGUCACCUAUAAUAUGGUACCAAUAUAUUAUAAUGGAAAUUACACAUAUUACUUUUUCAGGCAUUCAUUAUAGACUAUUUACAGAAAUGAGUAAAAAAAAUAUGUGAGAUAAAUUACAUUAUAUCUAUUUAAUUUACAUCCUUUUUAUUAUGCGUAUUGGUUAUAAGAAAUCAUUCUUGCCUGACAGCCAUUACUUUUUCUUGUCAGAUUUCAGAAAAGCUAAGGCAUCGAAAGAAGUGACUAUUAUAUUAUGAAUGGAAUACCAAAAAUCACCUACACUUUGCCUAUACCAUGAAUAUUUACUAGGGCUAGAACAAUAACUGAUUCUACUUCAGAAUUUUCUUAAUUGGAACAAAAAGUCAAACUGACAAAUAAGAAGCAUUACAAUAGCUUCUACACAUAAUAAAUGUUUUCAGAGGAAUUGAGAAGAAGGUUUCAGAAGGCCAUAAAUAUCCUAGCCUCUCCAUUUCAGAUUGACUAAGAACAGUCCAGUAUAAAGAGUAGCUGAAAAUAAAAUGUUAAUUUGCUUUCCUAAAGGCAAAUGUGGAGCACAUAAUGGCAUUAGUGAGUAGGAGCAGAUAUGCAAGCAAAGGGGUACAUUGAAAAACCUGUGGAAAGCUGUUUUUAGUAAUGAAUUCUUGAGAAAAUACCCUCACGUAGAAUGUUUAGACAGUUUAAUAGCUUUGUUGUUGGAAAUGUUGCUUAUUUUAGAUUUCUUUUACUAAUGACCAGUUAUUAAGACACAUGUGUCAUAAAUAAACCAAAUUGGGUUAGGACACUAACAGUUGGGUUUGCGUUCAUGGCCAAAACAUGCUC
RNAcentral lists this long non-coding RNA (3681 nucleotides) under Sus scrofa (pig). RNAcentral describes it as "lncRNA (ENSSSCG00000056917.1)". Lineage: Eukaryota; Metazoa; Chordata; Mammalia; Artiodactyla; Suidae. The record is from RNAcentral.